UACGUAGGGUGCAAGCGUUAAUCGGAAUUACUGGGCGUAAAGCGUGCGCAGGCGGUGAUGUAAGACAGGUGUGAAAUCCCCGGGCUUAACCUGGGAACUGCCUUUGAUACUGCAAAUCUCGAGUCCGGAAGAGGUGAGUGGAAUUCCUAGUGUAGAGGUGAAAUUCGUAGAGAUCCGGAAGAACACCGGUGGCGAAGGCGGUCUGCUGGGGUGAGGCUGACGCUGAUGCGCGACAGCGUGGGGAGCAAACAGG
Molecule: ribosomal RNA, 253 nt
Filed under: uncultured bacterium
Lineage: Bacteria
Description: partial 16S ribosomal RNA
Rfam family: Bacterial small subunit ribosomal RNA
Source: RNAcentral